UAACACGUAAGGAGCGAGCGUUGUUCGGAAUUAUUGGGCGUAAAGGGCGUGUAGGCGGUUAACUAAGUCUUGUUUGAAAGACCGAUGCUCAACAUCGGAAACGGACAGGAAACUGGUUAACUAGAAUCCGGUAGGGAAAUGUGGAAUUUCUAGUGUAGGGGUGAAAUCUGUUGAUAUUAGAAAGAACGCCAAUGGCGAAGGCAACAUUUUGGGCCUGGAUUGACGCUGAGGCGCGAAAGCAUAGGGAGCAAACAGGAUUAGAUACCCUGGUAGUCUAUGCCGUAAACUUUGUACACUUGGUGUCGGGGGUCAAACCUCGGUACCGUAGCUAACGCGAUAAGUGUACCGCCUGGGGAGUAUGCCGGCAACGGUG
Molecule: ribosomal RNA, 373 nt
Filed under: uncultured Spirochaetota bacterium
Lineage: Bacteria; Pseudomonadati; Spirochaetota
Description: bacterial SSU rRNA
Rfam family: Bacterial small subunit ribosomal RNA
Source: RNAcentral